CCUACGGGAGGCAGCAGUCGAGAAUCAUUCACAAUGGGGGAAACCCUGAUGGUGCGACGCCGCGUGAUCGAGACGCCCUUCGGGGUGUAAAGAUCUGUCAGUGGGGACGACACUUGACGGUACCCACAGAGGAAGCACCGGCUAACUCCGUGCCAGCAGCCGCGGUAAUACGGGGGGUGGACGCGUUGUCCGGAAUAAUUGGGCGUAAAGAGUUCGUAGGCGGCACGUAAAGGCUGGUGUUAAAGGCAGAGGCUCAACUUCUGUACGGCACUUGAUACUUGCGAGCUAGAAUGCGGUAGAGGUAAAGGGAAUUCCUGGUGUAGCGGUGAAAUGCUUAGAUAUCAGGAGGAACAUCGGUGGCGUAAGCGCUUUACUGGGCCGUAAUUGACGCUGAGGAACGAAAGCCAGGGUAGCAAAUGGGAUUAGAUACCCGAGUAGUC
Molecule: ribosomal RNA, 440 nt
Filed under: uncultured bacterium
Lineage: Bacteria
Description: partial 16S ribosomal RNA
Rfam family: Bacterial small subunit ribosomal RNA
Source: RNAcentral